RNAcentral lists this ribosomal RNA (392 nucleotides) under uncultured bacterium. Its description in RNAcentral is "partial 16S ribosomal RNA". It matches the Rfam family "Bacterial small subunit ribosomal RNA", at positions 523 to 918 of the family's 1533-position model. The record is from RNAcentral.
ACACGUAGGGGGCGAGCGUUGUUCGGAAUCAUUGGGCGUAAAGCGCGCGCAGGCGGCCAUGUAAGUCAGGUGUAAAAUGGUCAGGCUUAACAUGAGCAUGCGCUGUAAACUGUGUGGCUUGAGUCAACGAGGUGAUGCCGGAAUUCCCGGUGUAGGGGUGAAAUCUGUAGAUAUCUGGAAGAACACCAAUUGCGAAGGGAGGCAUCGGGCGACUGACUGACGCAUAGGCGAGAAGGUGCGGGGAGAAAACAGGUAUAGAUACCGUGGUAGUCCGCACAGUAAACGAUGUGCAGCAGGUGGCGGGCAGCAGUGCUCGGUACCGAAGCAAACGCAUUAAGUGCACCGCCUGGGGAGUAUGCUCGCAAGGGUGAAACUCAAAGGGAUGGACGGGG